This 433-nucleotide ribosomal RNA is filed under the name uncultured bacterium. Its description in RNAcentral is "partial 16S ribosomal RNA". It matches the Rfam family "Bacterial small subunit ribosomal RNA", at positions 29 to 507 of the family's 1533-position model. The record is from RNAcentral.
AACGAACGCUGGCGGCAUGCCUAACACAUGCAAGUCGAACGAGACCUUCGGGUCUAGUGGCGCACGGGUGCGUAACGCGUGGGAACCUGCCCUUAGGUUCGGAAUAACUCCCCGAAAGGGGUGCUAAUACCGGAUAAUGUCUUCGGACCAAAGAUUUAUCGCCUUUGGAUGGGCCCGCGUUGGAUUAGCUAGUUGGUAGGGUAAAAGCCUACCAAGGCGACGAUCCAUAGCUGGUCUGAGAGGAUGAUCAGCCACACUGGGACUGAGACACGGCCCAGACUCCUACGGGAGGCAGCAGGUGGGAAUAUUGGACAAUGGGCGAAAGCCUGAUCCAGCAAUGCCGCGUGAGUGAUGAAGGCCUUAGGGUUGUAAAACUCUUUUACCCGGGAUGAUAAUGACAGUACCGGGAGAAUAAGCUCCGGCUAACUCCGUG